UGGAAGGCUCUAGGGGAAUAAAGAUGGAAAGACUUCUAAUUUUUAGGUCCGUAUGAUUUGAAAUACUUGCACACAAACCGCACGAAAGCGUUCCUGGAAAUCUCAGCCUAAAAAGGAUGUUUAGUAAUUCUAAAAGGGACUACAAGAUGAAAAAUAAUAGUUUGGGCAGUUAAAAUUUGAGAUUCGACGAUGCCGUAGAUCCGUUUGGUCAUCAGGUGUUAUGAGCCACACCCAUGUCUAGCUAGAAUAGUGUGUUAGGCUCAGGCUAGAGAAGAAACGGGGAACAAACUGAUGAAAGAAUGAUCAUACCGAGGGAAUUCACUCAGAACUAACAAGAAUGAUAACGUGCUCCGACUGGAGCAGUUUAGAAACUGCUGGAAGGCUCUAAUGGAAUAAAGAUGGAAUGCCUUCAAAUUUCUAGGUCCGUAUGAUUUGAAAUACUUGCACACAAACCGCUCGAAAGCGUUCCUGGAAAUCUCAGCCCAAAAAAGGACGUUUAGUAAUUCUAAAAGGGACUACAGGAUGAAAAACAAUAGUUUUGGCAGUUAAAGUUUGAGAUUCGAUGGUGCCGUAGAUCCGUUUGGUCAUCAGGUGUAACGAGCCACACACAUGUCUAGCUAGAGUAGUGUGCUAGGCUCAGACUAGAGAAGAAACGGGGAACAAAGUGAUGAAAGAAUGAUCAUACCGAGGGAAUUCACUCAGAACUUACAAGAAUGAUAACGUGCUCCGACUGGAGCGCUUUAGUAACUGCUGGAAGGCUCUAGGCGAAUAAAGAUGGAAUGACUUCUAAUUUUUAGGUCCGUAUGAUUUGAAAUACUUGCACACAAACCACGCAAAACCGUUCCUAGAAAUCUCGGUCGAAAAAAGGACGUUUAGUAAUUCUAAAAGGGACUACAGGAUGAAAAACAAUAGUUUUGGCAGUUAAAGUUUGAGAUUCGAUGGUGCCGUAGAUCCGUUUGGUCAUCAGGUGUUACGAGCCACACCCAUGUCUAGCUAGAGUAGUGUGCUAGGUUCAGACUAGAGAAGAAACGGGGAACAAAGUGAUUAAAGAAUGAUCAUACCGAGGGAAUUCACUCAGAACUAACAAGAAUGAUAACGUGCUCCGACUGGAGCGGUUUAGGAACUGCUGGAAGGCUCUAGGGGAAUAAAGAUGGAAUGACUUCUAAUUUUUACGUCCGUAUGAUUUGAAAUACAUGCACACAAACCACGCAAAAGCGUUCCUGGAAAUCUCAGCCUAAAAAAGGACGUUUAGUAAUUCUAAAAGGGACUACAGGAUGAAAAAUAAUAGUUUGGGCAGUUAAAAUUUGAGAUUCGACGCUGCCGUAGAUCCGUUUGGUCAUCAGGUCUUACGAGCCACACCCAUGUCUAGCUAGAAUAGUGUGUUAGGCUCAGGCUAGAGAAGAAACGGGGAACAAACUGAUGAAAGAAUGAUCAUACCGAGGGAAUUCACUCAGAACUAACAAGAAUGAUAACGUGCUCCGACUGGAGCAGUUUAGAAACUCCUGGAAGGCUCUAGGGGAAUAAAGAUGGAAUGACUUCAAAGUUUUAGGUCCGUAUGAUUUGAAAUACUUGCACACAAACCGCGUGAAAGCGUUCCUGGAAAUCUCAACCCAAAAAAGGGCGUUUAGUAAUUCUAAAAGGGACUACAGGAUGUAAAACAAUAGUUUUGGCAGUUAAAGUUUGAGAUUCGAUGGUGCCGUAGAUCCGUUUGGUCAUCAGGUGUAACGAGCCACACCCAUGUCUAGCUAGAGUAGUGUGCUAGGCUCAGACUAGAGAAGAAACGGGGAACAAAGUGAUGAAAGAAUGAUCAUACCGAGGGAAUUCACUCAUAACUAACAAGAAUGAUAACGUGCUCUGACUUGAGCGGUUUAGGAACUGCUGGAAGGCUAUAGGGGAAUAAAGAUGGAAUGACUUCAAAUUUUUAGGUCCGUAUGAUCUGAAAUACUUGCACACAAACCGCGAGAAAGCGUUCCUGGAAAUCUCAACCCAAAAAAGGACGUUUAGUAAUUCUAAAAGGGACUACAGGAUGAAAAACAAUAGUUCUGGCAGUUAUUGUUUGAGAUUCGAUAAUCUCGUAGAUCCGUUUGGUCAUCAGGUGUAACGAGCCACACCCAUGUCUAGCUAGAGUAGUGUGCUAGGCUCAGACUAGAGAAGAAACGGGGAACAAACUGAUGAAAGAAUGAUCAUACCGAGGGAAUUCACUUAGAACUAACAAGAAUGAUAACGUGCUCCGACUGGAGCGGUUUAGGAACUGCUGGAAGGCUCUAGGGGAAUAAAGAAGGAACGACUUCUAAUUUUUAGGUCCGUAUGAUUUGAAAUAUGUGCACACAAACCACGAGAAAGCGUUCCUAGAAAUCUCGGCCCAAAAGAGGACGUUUAGUAUUCUAAAAGGGACUACAGAAUGAAAAACAAUAGUUUUGGCAGUUAAAGUUUGAGAUUUGACGGUGCCGUAGAUCUGUUUGGUCAUCAGGGGUUACGAGCCACACCCAUGUCUAGCUAGAAUAGUGUGUUAGGCUCAGGCUAGAAAAGAAACGGGGAACAAAGUGAUGAAAGAAUGAUCAUACCGAGGGAAUUCACUCAGAACUAACAAGAAUGAUAACAUGCUCCGACUGGAGCGGUUUAGGAACUGCUGGAAGGCUCUAGGGGAAUAAAGAUGGAAUGACUUCUAAUUUUUAGGUCCGUAUGAUUUGAAAUACUUGCACACAAACCGCGCGAAAGCGUUCCUGGAAAUCUCAGCCCAAAAAAGGACGUUUAGUAAUUCUAAAAGGGACUACAGGAUGAAAAACAAUAGUUUUGGCAGUUAAAGUAUGAGAUUCAACGGUGCCGUAGAUCCGUUUGGUCAUUAGGUGUUACGAGCCACACCCAUGUCUAGCUAGAAUAGUGUGCUAGGCUCAGGCUAGAGAAGAAACGGGGAACAAACUGAUGAAAGAAUGAUCAAACCGAGGGAAUUCACUCAGAACUAACAAUAAUGAUAACGUGCUCCGACUGGAGCGGUUUAGGAACUGCUGGAAGUCUCUAGGGGAAUAAAGAUGGAAUGACUUCUAAUUUUUACGUUCGUAUGAUUUGAAAAACUUGCCCAUAAACCGCGCGAAAGUGUUCCUGGAAAUCUCAGCCCAAAAAAGGACGUUUAGUAAUUUUAAAAGGGACUACACGAUGAAAAACAAUAGUUUUGGCAGGUAAAGUUUGAGAUUCGACAGUGCCGUAGAUCCGUUUGGUCAUCAGGUGUUACGAGCCACACCCAUGUCUAGCUAGAAUAGUAUGUUACGCUCAGGUUAGAGAAGAAACGGGGAACAAACUGAUGAAAGAUGAUCAUACCAAGGGAAUUCACUCAGAACUAACAAGAAUGAUAACGUGCUCCGACUGGAGCGGUUUAGGAACUGCUGGAAGGCUCUAGGGGAAUAAAGAUGGAAUGACUUCUAAUUUUUACGUCUGUAUGAUUUGAAAUACUUGCACACAAACAACGCAAAAGCAUUCCUGGAAAUCUCAUCCUAAAAAAGGACGUUUAGUAAUUCUAAAAGGGACUACAGGAUGAAAAAUAAUAGUUUGGGAAGUUAAAAUUUGAGAUUCGAUAGUGCCGUAGAUCCGUUUGGUCAUCAGGUGUUAGGAGCCACACCCAUGUCUAGCUAGAAUAGUGUGUUAGGCUCAGGCUAGAGAAGAAACAGGGAACAAACUGAUGAAAGAAUGAUCAUACCGAGGGAAUUCACUCAGAACUAGCAAGAAUGAUAACGUGCUCCGACUGGAGCAGUUUUGAAACUGCUGGAAGGCUCUAGGGGAAUAAUGAUGGAAUGACUUCUAAGUUUUUGGUCCGUAUGAUUUGAAAUACGUGCACACAAACCCAGAGAAAGUGUUCUUGGAAAUCUCGGCCGAAAAAAGGAUGUUUAAUAAUUCUAAAAGGGACUACAGGAUGAAAAACAAUAGUUUUGGCAGUUAAAGUUUGUGAUUCGAUGGUGCUGUAGAUCUGUUUGGUCAUCAGGUGUUAUGAGCCACACCCAUGUCUAGCUAGAACAGUGUGUUAGGCUCAGGCUAGAGCAGAAACGGGGAACAAACUUAUGAAAGAAUGAUCAUACCGAGGGAAUUCACUCAGAACUAACAAGAAUGAUAACGUGCUCCGACUGGAGAGGUUUAGGAACUGCUGGAAGGCUCUAGGGGAAUAAAGAUGGAAUGACUUCAAAUUUUUAGGUCUGUAUGAUCUGAAAUACUUGCACACAAACCGCGAGAAAGCGUUCCUGGAAAUCUCAGCCCAAAAAAGGACGUUUAGUGAUUCUAAAAGGGACUACGGGAUAAAAAACAAUAGUUUUGGCAGUUAAAGUUUGAGAUUCGAUAAUGCCGUAGAUCCGUUUGGUCAUCAGGUGUAACGAGCCACACCCAUGUCUAGCUAGAGUAGUGUGCUAGGCUCAUACUAGAGAAGAAAUGGGGAACAAACUGAUGAAAGAAUGAUCAUACCGAGGGAGUUCACUCAAAACUAACAUGAAUGAUAACGUGCUCCGACUGGAGCGGUUUAGGAACUGCUGGAAGGCUCUAGGGGAAUAAAGAUGGAAUGACUUCUAAUUUUUAGGUCCGUAUGAUUUGAAAUACAUGCACACAAACCCCAAGAAAGCGUUCCUGGAAAUCUCGCCCCGAAAAACGACGUUUAGUAAUUCUAAAAGGGACUAUAGGAUGAAAAACAAUAGUUUUGGCAGUUAAAGUUUGAGAUUUGACGGUGCCGUAGAUCUGUUUGGUCAUCAGGUGUUACGAGCCACACCCAUUUCUAGCUAGAAUAGUGUGUUAGGCUCAGGCUAGAAAAGAAACGGGGAACAAAGUGAUGAAAGAAUGAUCAUACCGAGGGAAUUCACUCAGAACUAACAAGAAUGAUAACAUGGUCCGACUGGAGCGGUUUAGGAACUGCUGGAAGGCUCUAGGGGAAUAAAGAUGGAAUGACUUCUAACUUUUAGGUCCGUAUGAUUUGAAUUACUUGCACACAAACCGCGCGAAAGCGUUCCUGGAAAUCUCAGCCCAAAAAAGGACGUUUAGUAAUUCUAAAAGGGACUACAGGAUGAAAAACAAUAGUUUUGGCAGUUAAAGUUUGAGAUUCGACGGUGCCGUAGAUCCGUUUGGUCAGCAGGUGUUACGAGCCACACCCAUGUCUAGCUAGAGUAGUGUGCUAGGUUCAGACUAGAGAAGAAAUGUUGGGGAACGUAGCAGAAAUUCAAAAUUUUCCUACGUGUCACCAAGAUCUAUCUAUGGAGAGACUAGCAACGAGGGAAGGAGAGUGCAUCUACAUACCCUUGUAGAUCGCUAAGCGGAAGCGUUCAAGUGAACGGGGUUGAUGGAGUCGUACUCGUCGUGAUUCAGCUCACCGAUGAUCCUAGUGCCGAACGGACGGCACCUCCGCGUUCAACACACGUACAGCUCGACGAUGUCUCCCACGCCUUGAUCCAGCAAGGAGAGAGGGAGAGGUUGAGGAAGACUCCAUCCAGCAGAAGCACAACGGCGUGGUGGUGAUGGAGGAGCAUGGCAAUCCUGCAGGGCUUCGCCAAGCACCUAUGGGAGAGGAGGAGGUGUCACGGGAGGGAGGGAGGCGCCAAGGGCUCAGGUAUAGAUGCCCUCCCUCCCCUCCACUAUAUAUAGGGGCAAGGGAGAGGGGGGAGGCGCAGCCUUGCCCCUUCCUCCAAGGAAGGGGUGCGGCUAAGAGGGGGGGAGGAGUCCAUCCUCCCCAAGGCACCUCGGAGGUGCCUUCCCCCUUUAGGACUCUCCCCUUUUUCCUAUAUCUUGGCGCAUGGGCCUCUAGGGGCUGGUUCCCUUGGCCCAUGUAGGCCCAGGCGCACCCCCUACAGCCCAUGUGGCCCCCCGGGGCAGGUGGCCCCACCUGGUGGGCCCCCGGGACCCUUCCGGUGGUCCCGGUACAAUACCGAUGACCCCGAAACUUGUCCCGAUGGCCGAAACAGGACUUCCUAUAUAUAAAUCUUUACCUCCGGACAAUUCCGGAACUCCUCGUGACGUCCGGGAUCUCAUCCGGGACUCCGAACAACAUUCGGUAACCACAUACAAACUUCCUUUAUAACCCUAGCGUCAUCGAACCUUAAGUGUGUAGACCCUACGGGUUCGGGAGACAUGUAGUCAUGACCGAGAUGUUCUCCGGUCAAUAACCAACAGCGGGAUCUGGAUACCCAUGUUGGCUCCCACAUGUUCCACGAUGAUCUCAUCGGAUGAACCACGAUGUCAAGGACUCAAUCAAUCCCGUAUACAAUUCCCUUUGUCUAGCGGUAUGGUACUUGCCCGAGAUUCGAUCGUCGGUAUACCGAUACCUUGUUCAAUCUCGUUACCGGCAAGUCUCUUUACUCAUUUCGUAACACAUCAUCCCGUGAUCAACCCCUUGGUCACAUUGUGCACAUUAUGAUGAUGUCCUACCGAGUGGGCCCAGAGAUACCUCUCCGUUUACACGGAGUGACAAAAUCCCAAUCUCGAUUCGUGCCAACCCAACAGACACUUUCAGAGAUACCCGUAGUGUACCUUUACAGCCACCCAGUUACGUUGUGACGUUUGGCACACCCAAAGCACUCCUACAGUAUCCGGGAGUUGCACAAUCUCAUGGUCUAAGGAAAUGAUACUUGACAUUAGAAAAGCUUUAGCAUACGAACUACAUGAUCUUGUGCUAGGCUUAGGAUUGGGUCUUGUCCAUCACAUCAUUCUCCUAAUGAUGUGAUCCCGUUAUCAACGACAUCCAAUGUCCAUGGUCAGGAAACCGUAACCAUCUAUUGAUUAACGAGCUAGUCAACUAGAGGCUUACUAGGGACAUGGUGUUGUCUAUGUAUCCACACAUGUAUCUAAGUUUCCUAUCAAUACAAUUCUAGCAUGGAUAAUAAACGAUUAUCAUGAACAAGGAAAUAUAAUAAUAAUCAAUUUAUUAUUGCCUCUAGGGCAUAUUUCCAACAGUCUCCCACUUGCACUAGAGUCAAUAAUCUAGUUCACAUCGAUAUGUGAUUAACACUCAAGGUCACAUUCCCAUGUGACUAACACCCAAGAGUUUACUAGAGUCAAUAAUCUAGUUCACAUUUACCAUGUGAUUAACACUUGAUGAGUUCUGGGUUUGAUCAUGUUAUGCUUGUGAGAGAGGUUAUAGUCAACGGGUCUGAACCUUUCAGAUCCGUGUGUGCUUUACAAAUCUCUAUGUCAUCUCCUAGAUGCAGCUACCACGUUCUAUUUGGAGCUAUUCCAAAUAACUGUUCUACUUGGAGCUAUUCUAAAUUGUUGCUCCAUUAUACGUAUCCGGUAUCUCUACUCAGAGCUAUCCGGAUAGGUGUUAAGCUUGCAUCGACGUAACCCUUUACGACGAACUCUUUUACCACCUCCAUAAUUGAGAAAAUUCCUUAGUCCACUAGUUACUAAGGAUAACUUUGACCGCUGUCCUGUGAUCCAUUCUUGGAUCACUCUUGUACCCCUUGACUGACUCAUGGUAAAGCACACUUCAGGUGCGGUACACAGCAUAGCAUACUGUAGAGCCUAUGUCUUAAGCAUAGGGGACGACCUUCGUUCCUUUCUCUCUAUUCUGCCAUGGUCGAGCUUUAAGUCUUAACUUCAUACCUUACAACUCAGGCAAGAACUCCUUCUUUGACUGAUCCAUCUUGAACACCUUCAAGAUCACGUCAAGGCAUGUGCUCACGUCAAGAUCACGUCGGUAUACCGAUACCUUGUUCAAUCUCGUUACCGGCAAGUCUCUUUACUCGUUCCGUAACACAUCAUCCCGUGAUCAACCCCUUGGUCACAUUGUGCACAUUAUGAUGAUGUCCUACCGAGUGGGCCCAGAGAUACCUCUCCGUUUACACGGAGUGACAAAAUCCCAAUCUCGAUUCGUGCCAACCCAACAGACACUUUCAGAGAUACCCGUAGUGUACCUUUAUAGCCACCCAGUUACGUUGUGACGUUUGGCACACCCAAAGCACUCCUACGGUAUCCGGGAGUUGCACAAUCUCAUGGUCUAAGGAAAUGAUACUUGACAUUAGAAAAGCUUUAGCAUACGAACUACAUGAUCUUGUGCUAGGCUUAGGAUUGGGUCUUGUCCAUCACAUCAUUCUCCUAAUGAUGUGAUCCCGUUAUCAACGACAUCCAAUGUCCAUGGUCAGGAAACCGUAACCAUCUAUUGAUUAACGAGCCAGUCAACUAGAGGCUUACUAGGGACAUGGUGUUGUCUAUGUAUCCACACAUGUAUCUGAGUUUCCUAUCAAUACAAUUCUAGCAUGGAUAAUAAACGAUUAUCAUGAACAAGGAAAUAUAAUAAUAAUCAAUUUAUUAUUGCCUCUAGGGCAUAUUUCCAACAGUCUCCCACUUGCACUAGAGUCAAUAAUCUAGUUCACAUCACCAUGUGAUUAACACUGACAGGUCACAUCACCAUGUGACCAACAUCCAAAGAGUCUUGGGUUUGAUCAUGUUGCUUGUGAGAGAGGUUAUAGUCAACGGGUCUGAACCUUUCAGAUCCGUGUGUGCUUUACAAAUCUCUAUGUCAUCUCCUAGAUGCAGCUACCACGUUCUAUUUGGAGCUAUUCCAAAUAACUGUUCUACUUGGAGCUAUUCUAAAUUGUUGCUCCAUUAUACGUAUCCGGUAUCUCUACUCAGAGCUAUCCGGAUAGGUGUUAAGCUUGCAUCGACGUAACCCUUUACGACGAACUCUUUUACCACCUCCAUAAUUGAGAAAAUUCCUUAGUCCACUAGUUACUAAGGAUAACUUUGACCGCUGUCCUGCGAUCCAUUCUUGGAUCACCCUUGUACCCCUUGACUGACUCAUGGUAAAGCACACUUCAGGUGCGGUACACAGCAUAGCAUACUGUAGAGCCUAUGUCUUAAGCAUAGGGGAUGACCUUCGUUCCUUUCUCUCUAUUCUGCCAUGGUCGAGCUUUAAGUCUUAACUUCAUACCUUACAACUCAGGCAAGAACUCCUUCUUUGACUGGUCCAUCUUGAACACCUUCAAGAUCAUGUCAAGGUAUGUGCUCAUUUGAAAGUACUAUUAAGCGUUUUGAUCUAUCCUUAUAGAUCUUGAUGCUCAAUGUUCAAGUAGCUUAAUCCAGGUUUUCCAUUGAAAACACUUUCCAAAUAACCCUAUAUGCUUUCCAGAAAUUCUACGUCAUUUCUGAUCAUUAAUAUGUCAACAACAUAUAAUCAUCAGAAAUUCUAUAGUGCUCCCACUCACUUCUUUGGAAAUACAAGUUUCUCAUAAACUUUGUAUACACCCAAAAUCUUUGAUCAUCAUCAAAGCAUACAUUCCAACUCCGAGAUGCUCACUCCAGUCCUCAGAAGGAUUGCUGGAGCUUUGCAUACUUAUUAGCAUAUUUCAGGAUAGACAAAACCUUCCAGUUGUAUCACAUACAACCUUUCCUCAAGAAUCGUCGACGAAACAAUGUUUUGACAUCCUAUCUGCAAGAUUUCAUAAAUAAUGCAGUAAUUGUUAAUAUAAUUCCAACAGACUCUUAGCAUCGCUACGAGUGAGAAAGUCUCAUUGUAGUCAACUCCUUGAACUUGUCAAAAAACAUCUUAACGACAAGUCGAGCUUUCUCAAUGGUGACACUUACCAUCAUUGUCUGUCUUCCUUUCAAAAUCCAUAUGUACCUAACAGCCUUACGACCAUCAAGUAGUUCUUCCAAAGUCUACACUUUGUUUUCAUACAUGGAUCCUCUCUCGGGUUUUAUGGCCAUGAGCCAUUUAUCGGAAUCCGGGCCCACCAUUGCUUCUCCAUAGCUCGUAGGUUCAUUGUUGUCUAGCAACAUGACUUCCAAGACAGGAUUACUGUACCACUCUGAAGUAGUACGUAUCCUUGUCACCCUACGAGGUUUGGGAGUGACUUGAUCUGAAGUUUCAUGAUCACUAUCAUAAGCUUCUACUUCAAUUGGUGUAGGUGCCACAGGAACAACUUCCUGUGCCCUGCUACACACUGGUUGAAGUGAUGGUUCAAUAACCUCAUCAAGUCUCCACCAUCCUCCCACUCAAUUCUUUCGAGAGAAACCUUUCCUCGAGAAAGGACCCAAUUCUAGAAACAAUUCAUAUUGCUUUCGGAUCUGAAUUAGGAAGUAUACCCAACUGUUUUGGGUGUCCUAUGAAGAUGUACUUUAUCCGCUUUGGUUUCGAGCUUAAUCCUGAAACUUUUUCACAUAAGUGUCGCAGCCCCAAACCUUUAAGAAACGACAACUUAGGUUUCUCUAAACCAUAAUUCAUACGGUGUCAUCUCAUCGGAAUUACGUGGUGCCCUAUUUAAAGUGAAUGUGGUUGUCUUUAAUGCCUAACCCAUAAACUAUCGUGGCAGUUCGAUAAGAGACAUCAUGGUAUGCAUCAUAUCCAAUAGGGUGCAACUAUGAUGUUCGGACACACCAUCACACUAUGGUGUUCCAGGCGGUAUUAAUUGUGAAACAAUUUCCACAAUGUCUUAAUUGUGUGCCAAAACUCGUAACUCAGAUACUCAUCUCUAUGAUCAUAUCAUAGACAUUUUAUCCUCUUGUCACAAUGAUCUUCUACUUCACUCUGAAAUUACUUGAACCAUUCAACAAUUCAGACUUGUGUUUCAUCAAGUAAAUAUUCUCAACAUCUACUCGAAUCAUCUGUGAAGUAAGAACAUAACGAUAUUCACUGCAUGCCUCAGCACUCAUUGGACUGCACACAUCAAAAUGUGUUACUUCCAACAAGUUGCUAUCUUGUUCCAUCUUACUGAAAACGAGGCUUUUCAGUCAUCUUGCCCAUGUGGUAUGAUUUGCAUGUCCCAAGUGAUUCAAAAAUCAAGUGAGUCAAAACGGUCCAUUUGCAUGGAGUUUCUUCAUGCAUAUACACCAAUAGACAUGGUUCGCAUGUCUCAAACUUUUCAAAAACGAGUGAGCCCAAAGAUCCAUCAAUAUGGAGCUUCUUCAUGCGUUUUAUACCGAUAUGACUUACGUGGUAGUGCCACAAGUAGGUGGUACUAUCAUUACUAUCUUUUGGCAUGAACAUGUGUAUCACUACGAUCGAGAUUUAAUAAACCAUUCAUUUUAGGUGUAAGACCAUUGAAGGUAUUAUUCAAAUAAACAGAGUAACCAUUAUUCUCCUUAAAUGAAUAACCGUAUUGCGAUAGACGUAAUCCAAUCAUGUCUAUGCUCAACGCAAACACCAAAUAACAAUUAUUUAGGUUUAACACCAAUCUCUUUGGUAGAGGGAGCGUGCGAUGCUUGAUCAUAUCAAGCAUGGAAAAACUUACAACACAUAUCGUCAGCUCACCUUUAGCUAGUCUCUGUUUAUUCCGUAGCCUUUUGUUUCGAGUUACUAACACUUAGCAACCGAACUGGUAUCUAAUACCCUGGUGCUACUAGGAGUACUAGCAAAGUACACAUUAACACAAUGUAUAUCCAAUAUACUUCUAUCGACCUUGCCAGCCUUCUUAUCUACCAAGUAUCUAGGGUAAUUCUGCUCUAGUAGUUGUUCCCCUUAUUACAGAAGCACUUAGUCUCGGGUUUGGGUUUUACCUUGGGUUUCUUCACUAGAGCAGCAGCUGAUUUGCCGUUUCAUGAAGUAUCCCUUCUUGCCCUUGCCCUUCUUGAAACUAGUGGUUCCACCAACCAUCAACAAUUGAUGCUCCUUCUUGAUUUCUACUUUCGCGGUGUCAAACAUCGCGAAUACCUCAAGGAUCAUCAUAUCUAUCCCUGAUAUGUUAUAGUUCAUCAUGAAGCUCUAACAGCUUGGUGGCAAUGACUUUGGAGAACCAUCACUAUCUCAUCUGGAAGAUCAACUCCCACUCGAUUCAAGCGAUUGUUGUACUCAGACAAUCUGAGCACAAGCUCAACGAUUGAGCUUUUCUCCCUUAGUUUGCAGGUUAAGAAAGUCAUCGGAGGUCUUAUACCUCUUGACAUGGGCACGAGCCUGAAAUCCCAAUUUCAGCCCUCAAAACAUCUCAUAUGUUUCGCGAUGUUUCAAAAACGUCUUUGGUGCCUCAACUCUAAACCGUUUAACUGAACUAUCACGUAGUUAUCAAAACGUGUAUGUCAGAUGUUCGCAACAACCACAGACAACGUUCGAGGUUCAGCACACUGAGCGGUGCAUUAAGGACAUAAGCCUUCUAUGAAGCAAUGAGGACAAUCCUCAGUUUACGGACCUAGUCCGCAUAAUUGCUACUAUCAACUUUCAACUAAUUUUUCUCUAGGAACAUAUCUAAACAGUAGAACUAUAGCGUGAGCUACGACAUAAUUUGCAAAAACCUUUUGACUAUGUUCAGGAUAAUUAAGUUCAUCUUAUGAACUCCCACUCAGAUAGACAUCCCUCUAGUCAUCUAAGUGAUUACAUGAUCCGAGUCAAACUAGGCCGUGUCCGAUCAUCACGUGAGACGGACUAGUCAUCAUCGGUGAACAUCUUCAUGUUGAUCGUAUCUUCUAUACGACUCAUGUUCGACCUUUCGGUCUUCGUGUUCCGAGGCCAUGUAUGUACAUGCUAGGCUCGUCAAGUUAACCCUAAGUGUUUCGCGUGUGUAAAUCUGUCUUACACCCGUUGUAUGUGAACGUUAGAAUCUAACACCCGAUCAUCACGUGGUGCUUCGAAACACGAACUGUCGCAACGGUGCACAGUUAGGGGAGAACACUUCUUGAAAUUGUUGUAAGGGAUCAUCUUAUUUACUACCGUCGUUCUAAGCAAAUAAGAUGUAUAAACAUGAUAAACAUCACAUGCAAUCAAAUAGUGACAUGAUAUGGCCAUCAUCACUUUGCUCCUUUUGAUCUCCAUCUUCGGGGCUCCAUGAUCAUCAUCGUCACCGGCAUGACACCAUGAUCUCCAUCAUCAUGAUCUCCAUCAUCGUGUCUUCAUGAAGUUGCCUCGCCAACUAUUACUUCUACUACUAUGGCUAACGGUUAGCAAUAAAGUAAAGUAAUUACAUGACGUUUAAGUUGACACGCAGGUCACAAAUGAAUAAAGACAACUCCUAUGGCUCCUGCCGGUUGUCAUACUCAUCGACAUGCAAGUCGUGAUUCCUAUUACAAGAACAUGAUCAAUCUCAUACAUCACAUAUAUCAUUCAUCACAUCCUUUUUGGCCAUAUCACAUCACAUAGCAUACCCUGCAAAAACAAGUUAGACGUCCUCUAAUUGUUGUUUGCAUGUUUUACGUGGCUGCUAUGGGUUUCUAGCAAGAACGUUUCUUACCUACGCAUGAACAACAACGUGAUAUGCCAAUUGCUAUUUACCCUUCAUAAGGACCCUUUUCAUCGAAUCCGAUCCGACUAAAGUGGGAGAGACAGACACCCGCCAGCCACCUUAUGCAACUAGUGCAUGUUUGUCGGUGGAACCGGUCUCACGUAAGCGUACGUGUAAGGUUGGUCCGGGCCGCUUCAUCCCACGAUGCCGCCGAAUCAAGAUAAGACUAGUAACGGCAAGCAUAUUGAACAAUAUCAACGCCCACAACUACUUUGUGUUCUACUCGUGCAAAGAAUCUACGCAAUAGACCUAGCUCAUGAUGCCACUGUUGGGGAACGUAGCAGAAAUUCAAAAUUUUCCUACGUGUCACCAAGAUCUAUCUAUGGAGAUACUAGCAACGAGGGAAGGAGAGUGCAUCUACAUACCCUUGUAGAUCGCUAAGCGGAAGCGUUCAAGUGAACGGGGUUGAUGGAGUCGUACUCGUCGUGAUUCAGAUCACCGAUGAUCCUAGUGCCGAACGGACGGCACCUCCGCGUUCAACACACGUACAGCUCGACGAUGUCUCCCACGCCUUGAUCCAGCAAGGAGAGAGGGAGAGGUUGAGGAAGACUCCAUCCAGCAGCAGCACAACGGCGUGGUGGUGAUGGAGGAGCGUGGCAAUCCUGCAGGGCUUCGCCAAGCACCUACGGGAGAGGAGGAGGUGUCACGGGAGGGAGGGAGGCGCCAAGGGCUCAGGUAUAGAUGCCCUCCCUCCCCUCCACUAUAUAUAGGGGCAAGGGAGAGGGGGAGGCGCAUCCUUGCCCCUUCCUCCAAGGAAGGGGUGCGGCUAAGAGGGGGGGAGGAGUCCAUCCUCCCCAAGGCACCUCGGAGGUGCCUUCCCCCUUUAGGACUCUCCCCUUUUUCCUAUAUCUUGGCGCAUGGGCCUCUAGGGGCUGGUGCCCUUGGCCCAUGUAGGCCAAGGCGCACCCCCCUACAGCCCAUGUGGCCCCCCGGGGCAGGUGGCCCCACCCGGUGGGCCCCCGGGACCCUUCCGGUGGUCCCGGUACAAUACCGAUGACCCCGAAACUUGUCCCGAUGGCCGAAACAGGACUUCCUAUAUAUAAAUCUUUACCUCCGGACCAUUCCGGAACUCCUCGUGACGUCCGGGAUCUCAUCCGGGACUCCGAACAACAUUCGGUAACCACAUACAAACUUCCUUUAUAACCCUAGCGUCAUCGAACCUUAAGUGUGUAGACCCUACGGGUUCGGGAGACAUGUAGUCAUGACCGAGAUGUUCUCCGGUCAAUAACCAACAGCGGGAUCUGGAUACCCAUGUUGGCUCGCACAUGUUCCACGAUGAUCUCAUCGGAUGAACCACGAUGUCAAGGACUCAAUCAAUCCCGUAUACAAUUCCCUUUGUCUAGCGGUAUGGUACUUGCCCGAGAUUCGAUCGUCGGUAUACCGAUACCUUGUUCAAUCUCGUUACCGGCAAGCCUCUUUACUCGUUCCGUAACACAUCAUCCCGUGAUCAACCCCUUGGUCACAUUGUGCACAUUAUGAUGAUGUCCUACCGAGUGGGCCCAGAGAUACCUCUCCGUUUACACGGAGUGACAAAAUCCCAAUCUCGAUUCGUGCCAACCCAACAGACACUUUCAGAGAUACCCGUAGUGUACCUUUAUAGCCACCCAGUUACGUUGUGACGUUUGGCACACCCAAAGCACUCCUACGGUAUCCGGGAGUUGCACAAUCUCAUGGUCUAAGGAAAUGAUACUUGACAUUAGAAAAGCUUUAGCAUACGAACUACAUGAUCUUGUGCUAGGCUUAGNNNNNNNNNNUGAUCAACCCCUUGGUCACAUUGUGCACAUUAUGAUGAUGUCCUACCGAGUGGGCCCAGAGAUACCUCUCCGUUUACACGGAGUGACAAAAUCCCAAUCUCGAUUCGUGCCAACCCAACAGACAUUUUCAGAGAUACCCGUAGUGUACCUUUAUAGCCACCCAGUUACGUUGUGACGUUUGGCACACCCAAAGCACUCCUACGGUAUCCGGGAGUUGCACAAUCUCAUGGUCUAAGGAAAUGAUACUUGACAUUAGAAAAGCUUUAGCAUACGAACUACAUGAUCUUGUGCUAGGCUUAGGAUUGGGUCUUGUCCAUCACAUCAUUCUCCUAAUGAUGUGAUCCCGUUAUCAACGACAUCCAAUGUCCAUGGUCAGGAAACCGUAACCAUCUAUUGAUUAACGAGCUAGUCAACUAGAGGCUUACUAGGGACAUGGUGUUGUCUAUGUAUCCACACAUGUAUCUGAGUUUCCUAUCAAUACAAUUCUAGCAUGGAUAAUAAACGAUUAUCAUGAACAAGGAAAUAUAAUAAUAAUCAAUUUAUUAUUGCCUCUAGGGCAUAUUUCCAACAAGAAACGGGGAACAAACUGAUGAAAGAAUGAUCAUACCGAGGGAAUUCACUCAGAACUAACAAGAAUGAUAACGUGCUUUGACUGGAGCGGUUUAAAAACUGCUGGAAGGCUCUAGGGGAAUAAAGAUGGAAUGCCUUCAAAUUUCUAGGUCCGUAUGAUUUGAAAUACUUGCACACAAACCGCGCGAAAGCGUUCCUGGAAAUCUCAGCCCAAAAAAGGACGUUUAGUAAUUCUAAAAGGGACUACAGAAUGAAAAACAAUAGUUUUGGCAGUUAAAGUUUGAGAUUCGAUGGUGCCGUAGAUCCGUUUGGUCAUCAGGUGUAACGAGCCACACCCAUGUCUAGCUAGAGUAGUGUGCUAGGCUCAGGCUAGAGAAGAAACGGGGAACAAACUGAUGAAAGAAUGAUCAUACCGAGGGAAUUCACUCAGAACUAACAAGAAUGAUAACGUGCUCCGACUGGAGCGGUUUAGGAACUGCUGGAAGGCUCUAGGGGAAGAAAGAAGGAAUGACUUCUAAUUUUUAGGUCCGUAUGAUUUGAAAUACGUGCACACAAACCGCGCGAAAGCGUUCCUGGAAAUCUCAGCCCAAAAAAGGACGUUUAGUAUUCUAAAAGGGACUACAGAAUGAAAAACAAUAGUUUUGGCAGUUAAAGUUUGAGAUUCGACGGUGCCGUAGAUCCGUUUGGUCAUCAGGUGUUACGAGCCACACCCAUGUCUAGCUAGAAUAGUGUGCNNNNNNNNNNNNNNNNNNNNNNNNNCGUAUGAUUUGAAAUACGUGCACACAAACCGCGCGAAAGCGUUCCUGGAAAUCUCAGCCCAAAAAAGGACGUUUAGUAUUCUAAAAGGGACUACAGAAUGAAAAACAAUAGUUUUGGCAGUUAAAGUUUGAGAUUCGACGGUGCUGUAGAUCCGUUUGGUCAUCAGGUGUUACGAGCCACACCCAUGUCUAGCUAGAAUAGUGUGCUAGGCUCAGGCUAGAGAAGAAAAGGGGAACAAACUAAUGAAAGAAUGAUCAAUACGAGGGAAUUCACUCAGAACUAACAAUAAUGAUAACGUGCUCCGACUGGAGCGGUUUAGGAACUGCUGGAAGGCUCUAGGCGAAUAAAGAUGGAAUGACUUCUAAUUUUUACGUCCGUAUGAUUUGAAAUACUUGCACACAAACCACGCAAAAGCGUUCCUGGAAAUCUCGGCCUAAAAAGGACGUUUAGUAAUUCUAAAAGGGACUACAGGAUGAAAAAUAAUAGUUUGGGCAGUUAAAAUUUGAGAUUCGACGGUGCCGUAGAUCCGUUUGGUCAUCAGGUGUUACGAGCCACACCCAUGUCUAGCUAGAAUAGUGUGUUAGGCUCAGGCUAGAGAAGAAACGAGGAACAAACUGAUGAAAGAAUGAUCAUACCAAGGGAAUUCACUCAGAACUAACAAGAAUGAUAACGUGCUCCGACUGGAGCAGUUUAGAAACUGCUGGAAGGCUCUAGGGGAAUAAAGAUGGAAUGACUUCUGAUUUUUAGGUCCGUAUGAUUUGAAAUACGUGCACACAAACCCCGCGAAAGCGUUCCUGGAAAUCUCAGCCCAAAAAAGGACGUUUAGUAAUUCUAAAAGGGACUACAACAUGAAAAACAAUAGUUUUGGCAGUUAAAGUUUGAGAUUUCAUGGUGCCGUAGAUCUGUUUGGUCAUCAGGUGUUACGAGCCACACCCAUGUCUAGCUAGAAUAGUGUGUUAGGCUCAGGCUAGAAAAGAAACGGGAAACAAAGUGAUGAAAGAAUGACCAUACCGAGGGAAUUCACUCAGAACUAACAAGAAUGAUAACAUGCUCCGACUUGAGCGGUUUAGGAACUGCUGGAAGGCUCUAGGGGAAUAAAGAUGGAAUGACUUCUAAUGUUUAGGUCCGUAUGAUUUGAAAUACUUGCACAUAAACCGCACAAAAGCGUUCCUGGAAAUCUCAGCCCAAAAAAGGACGUUUAGUAAUUCUAAAAGGGACUACAGGAUGAAAAACAAUAGUUUUGGCAGUUAAAGUUUGAGAUUCGACGGUGCCGUAGAUCCGUUUGGUCAUCAGGUGUUACGAGCCACACCCAUGUCUAGCUAGAAUAGUGUGUUAGGCUCAGGCUAGAGAAGAAACUUGGAACAAACUGAUGAAAGAAUGAUCAAACCAACGGAAUUCACUCAGAACUAACAAUAAUGAUAACGUGCUCCGACUGGAGCAGUUUAGGAACUGCUGGAAGGCUCUAGGGGAAUAAAGAUGGAAUGACUUCUAAUUUUUAGGUCCGUAUGAUUUGAAAUACUUGCACGCAAACCGCGCGAAAGCGUUCCUGGAAAUAUCAGCCCAAAAAAGGACGUUUAGUAAUUCUAAAAGGGACUACAGGAUGAAAACAAUAGUUUUGGCAGUUAAAGUUUGAGAUUCAACAGUGCCGUAGAUCCGUUUGGUCAUCAGGUGUUAUGAGCCAUACCCAUGUCUAGCUAGAGUAGUGUGCUAGGCUCAGGCUAGAGAAGAAACAGGGAACAAACUGAUGAAAGAAUGAUCAUACCGAGGGAAUUCACUCAGAACUAACAAGAAUGAUAACGUGCUCCGACUGGAGCGGUUUAGGAACUGCUGGAAGGCUCUAGGGGAAUAAAGAUGGAGUGACUUCUAAAUUUUUAGGUCCGUAUGAUUUAAAAUACUUGCACACAAACCGCACGAAAGCGUUCCUUGAAAUCUCAGCCCAAAAAAGGACGUUUAGUAAGUCUAAAAGGGACUAUAGGAUGAAAAACAAUAGUUUUGGCAGUUAAAGUUUGAGAUUCGAUGGUGCCGUAGAUCUGUUUGGUCAUCAGGUGUUACGAGCCACACCCAUGUCUAGUUGGAAUAGUGUGCUAGGCUCAGACUAGAGAAGAAACAGGGAACAAACUGAUGAAAGAAUGAUCAAACCGAGGAAAUUCACUCAGAACUAACAAUAAUGAUAACAUGCUCCGACUGGAGCGGUUUAGGAACUGCUGGAAGGCUCUAGGGGAAUAAAGAUGGAAUGACUUCUAAAUUUUUAGGUCCGUAUGAUUUGAAAUAGUUGCACACAAACUGCGCGAAAGCGUUCCUGGAAAUCUCAGCCCAAAAAAGGACGUUUAGUAAUUCUAAAAGGGACUAUAGGAUGAAAAACAAUAGUUUUGGCAGUUAAAGUUUGAGAUUCGACGGUGCCGUAGAUCCGUUUGGUCAUCACGUGUUACAAGCCACACCCAUGUCUAGCUAGAGUAGUGUGCUAGGCUCAGACUAUAGAAGAAACGGGGACCAAACUGAUGAAAGAAUGAUCAAACCGAGGAAAUUCACUCAGAACUAACAAUAAUGAUAACAUGCUCCGACUGGAGCGGUUUAGGAACUACUGGAAGGCUCUAGGGGAAUAAAGAUGGAAUGACUUCUAAAUUUUUAGGUCCGUAUGAUUUUAAAUAGUUGCACACAAACUGCGCGAAAGCGUUCCUGGAAAUCUCAGCCCAAAAAAGGACGUUUAGUAAUUCUAAAAGGGACUACAGGAUGAAAAACAAUAGUUUGGGCAGUUAAAAUUUGAGAUUCGACGGUGCCGUAGAUCCGUUUGGUCAUCAGGUGUUACGAGCCACACCCAUGUCUAGCUAGAGUAGUGUGCUAGGCUCAGGCUAGAGAAGAAACAGGGAACAAACUGAUGAAAGAAUGAUCAUACCGAGGGAAUUCACUCAGAACUAACAAGAAUGAUAACGUGCUCUGACUGGAGCGGUUUAAGAACUGUUGGAAGGCUCUAGGGGAAUAAAGAUGGAAUCACUUCAAAUUUUUACGUCCGUGUGAUUUGAAAUACUUGCACACAAACCGCACGAAAGCGUUCCUGGAAAUCUCAGCCCAAAAAAGGACGUUUAGUAAGUCUAAAAGGGACUACACGAUGAAAAACAAUAGUUUUGGCAGUUAAAGUUUGAGAUUCGACAGUGCCGUAGAUCCGUUUGGUCAUCAGGUGUAACGAGCCACACCCAUGUCUAGAUAGAGUAGUGUGCUAGGCUCAAACUAGAGAAGAAACGGGGAACAAACUGAUGAAAGAAUGAUCAUACCGAGGGAAUUCACUCAGAAAUAACAAGAAUGAUAACGUGCUCUGACUGGAGCGGUUUAGGAACUGCUGGAAGGCUCUAGGGGAAUAAAGAAGGAAUGACUUCUAAUUUUUAGGUCCGUAUGAUUUGAAAUACGUGCACACAAACCCCGAGAAAGCGUUCCUGGAAAUCUCGACCCAAAAAAGGACGUUUAGUAAUUCUAAAAGGGACUACGGGAUGAAAAACAAUAGUUUUGGCAGUUAAAGUUUGAGAUUCGAUAAUGCCGUAGAUCCAUUUGGUCAUCAGGUGUAACGAGCCACACCCAUGUCUAGCUAGAGUAGUGUGCUAGGCUCAGACUAGAGAAGAAACAGGGAACAAACUGAUGAAAGAAUGAUCAUAUCGAGGGAAUUCACUCAGAACUAACAAGAAUGAUAACAUGCUCCGACUUGAGCGGUUUAGGAACUGCUGGAAGGCUCUAGGGGAAUAAAGAUGGAAUGACUUCUAAUUUUUAGGUCCGUAUGAUUUGAAAUACUUACACACAAACCACGCGAAAGCGUUCCUGGAAAUCUCAGCCCAAAAAAGGACGUUUAGUAAUUCUAAAAGGGACUACAUGAUGAAAAACAAUAGUUUUCGCAGUUAAAGUUUGAGAUUCGACGGUGCCGUAGAUCCGUUUGGUCAUCAAGUGUUACGAGCCACACCCAUGUCUAGCUAGAAUAGUGUGUUAGGCUCAGCCUAGAGAAGAAACGGGGAACAAACUGAUGAAAGAAUGAUCAUACCGAGGGAAUUCACUCAGAACUUACAAGAAUGAUAACGUGCUCCGACUUGAGCGGUUUAAGAACUGUUGGAAGGCUCUAGGGGAAUAAAGAUGGAAUCACUUCAAAUUUUUACGUCCGUGUGAUUUGAAAUACUUGCACACAAACCCCGAGAAAGCGUUCCUGGAAAUCUCGGCCGAAAAAAGGAUGUUUAAUAAUUCUAAAAGGGACUACAGGAUGAAAAACAAUAGCUUUGGCAGUUAAAGUUUGUGAUUCGAUGGUGCCGUAGAUCUGUUUGGUCAUCAGGUGUUAUGAGCCACACCCAUGUCUAGCUAGAAUAGUGUGUUAGGCUCAGGCUAGAGCAGAAACUAGGAACAAACUUAUGAAAGAAUGAUCAUACCGAGGGAAUUCACUCAGAACUAACAAGAAUGAUAACGUGCUCCGACUGGAGCGGUUUAGGAACUGCUGGAAGGCUCUAGGGGAAUAAAGAUGGAAUGACUUCUAAUUUUUAGGUCCGUAUGAUUUGAAAUACAUGCACACAAACCCCAAGAAAGCGUUCCUAGAAAUCUCAGCCCAAAAAGGACGUUUAGUAAUUCUAAAAGGGACUACAGGAUGAAAAACAAUAGGUUUGGCAGUUAAAGUUUGAGAUUCGAUAAUGCCGUAGAUCCGUUUGGUCAUCAGGUGUAACGAGCCACACCCAUGUCUAGCUACAUUAGUGUGCUAGGCUCAGACUAGAGAAGAAACGGGGAACAAACUGAUGAAAGAAUGAUCAUACCGAGGGAAUUCACUCAGAACUAACAAGAACGAUAACAUGCUCCGACUGCAGCGGUUUAGGAACUGCUGGAAGGCUCUAGGGGAAUAAAGAAGGAAUGACUUCUAAUUUUUAGGUCCGUAUGAUUUGAAAUACUUGCACACAAACCGCGCGAAAGCAUUCCUGGAAAUCUCAGCCCAAAAAAGGACGUUUAGUAAUUCUAAAAGGGACUACAGGAUGAAAAACAAUAAUUUUGGCAGUUAAAGUUUGAGAUUCGACGGUGCCGUAGAUCCGUUUGGUCAUCAGGUGUUACGGGCCAUACCCAUGUCUAGCUAGAAUAGUGUGUUAGGCUCAGGUUAGAGAAGAAACGGGGAACAAAGUGAUGAAAGAAUGAUCAUACCGAGGGAAUUCACUCAGAACUAACAAGAAUGAUAACGUGCUCCGACUGGAGCGGUUUAGGAAUUGCUGGAAGGCUCUAGGGGAAUAAAGAUGGAAUGACUUCUAUAUUUUACGUCCGUAUGAUUUGAAAUACUUGCACACAAACCACGCAAAAGCACUCCUGGAAAUAUCAGCCUAAAAAGGAUGUUUAGUAAUUCUAAAAGGGACUACAGGAUGAAAAAUAAUAGUUUUGGCAGUUAAAAUUUGAGAUUCAACGGUGCCGUAAAUCCGUUUGGUCAUCAGGUGUUACGAGCCACACCCAUGUCUAGCUAGAAUAGUGUGUUAGGCUCAGGUUAGAGAAGAAACGGGGAACAAACUGAUGAAAGAAUGAUCAUACAAGGGGAAUUCACUCAGAACUAUCAAGAAUGAUAACGUGCUCCGACUGGAGCAGUUUAGGAACUGCCGGAAGGCUCUAGGGGAAUAAAGAUGGAAUGACUUCUAAUUUUUAUGUCCGUAUGAUUUGAAAUACUUGCACACAAACCACGCAAAAGCGUUCCUGGAAAUCUCAGCCUAAAAAGGACGUUUAGUAAUUCUAAAAGGGACUACAGGAUGAAAAACAAUAGUUUGGGCAGUUAAAAUUCGAGAUUCGACGGUGCCGUAGAUCCGUUUGGUCAUCAGGUGUUACGAGCCACACCCAUGUCUAGCUAGAAUAGUGUGUUAGGCUCAGGCUAGAGAAGAAACGGGGAACAAACUGAUGAAAGAAUGAUCAUAUCGAGGGAAUUCACUCAGAACUAACAAGAAUGAUAACGUGCUCCGACUGGAGCGGUUUAGUAACUGCUGGAAGGCUCUAGGGGAAUAAAGAUGGAAUGACUUCUAAUUAUUAGGUCCGUAAGAUUUGAAUUACAUGCACACAAACCCCGAGAAAGCGUUCCUGGAAAUCUCGGUCGAAAAAAGGAUGUUUAGUAAUUCUAAAAGGGACUACAGGAUGAAAAACAAUAGUUUUGGCAGUUAAAGUUUGUGAUUCGAUGGUGCCGUAGAUCUGUUUGGUCAUCAGGUGUUACGAGCCACACCCAUGUCUAGCUAGAAUAGUGUGUUAGGCUCAGGCUAGAGCAGAAACGGGGAACAAACUUAUGAAAGAAUGAUCAUGCCGAGGGAAUUCACUCAGAACUAACAAGAAUGAUAACGUGCUCCGACUGGAGCGGUUUAGGAACUGCUGGAAGGCUCUAGGGGAAUAAAGAUGGAAUGACAUCAAAUUUUUAGGUCCGUAUGAUUUGAAAUACUUGCACACAAACCGCAAGAAAGCGUUCUUGGAAAUCUCCGCCCAAAAAAGGACGUUUAGUAAUUCUAAAAGGGUCUACAGGAUGAAAAACAAUAGUUCUGGCAGUUAAAGUUUGAGAUUCGAUAAUGUCGUAGAUCCGUUUGGUCAUCAGGCGUAACGAGCCACACCCAUUUCUAGCUAGAGUAGUGUGCUAGGCUCAGACUAGAGAAGAAACGGGGAACAACCUGAUGAAAGAAUGAUCAUACCGAGGGAAUUCACUCAGAACUAACAAGAAUGAUAACGUGCUCCGACUGGAGCGGUUUAGGAACUGCUGGAAGGCUCUACGGGAAUAAAGAAGGAAUGACUUCUAAUUUUUAGGUCCGUAUGAUUUGAAAUACGUGCACACAAACCCCGAGAAAGCGUUCCUGGAAAUCUCGGCCCAAAAAAGGACGUUUAGUAUUCUAAAAGCGACUACAGAAUGAAAAACAAUAGUUUUGGUAGUUAAAGUUUGAGAUUUAACGGUGCCGUAGAUCUGUUUGGUCAUCAGGUGUUACGAGCCACACCCAUGUCUAGCUAGAAUAGUGUGUUAGGCUCAGGCUAGAUAAGAAACAGGGAACAAAGUGAUGAAAGAAUGAUCAUACCAAGGGAAUUCACUCAGAACUAACAAGAACGAUAACAUGCUCCGACUGGAGUGGUUUAGGAACUGCUGGAAGGCUCUAGGGGAAUAAAGAUGGAAUGACUUCUAAUUUUUAGGUCUGUAUGAUUUGAAAUACUUGCACACAAACCGCACGAAAGCGUUCCUGGAAAUCUCAUCCCAAAAAAGGACGUUUAGUAAUUCUAAAAGGGACUACAGGAUGAAAAACAAUAGUUUUGGCAGUUAAAGUUUGAGAUUCGAUAAUGCUGUAGAUCCGUUUGGUCAUCAGGUGUAACGAGCCACACCCAUGUCUAGCUAGAGUAGUGUGCUAGGCUCAGACUAGAGAAGAAACGGGGAACAAACUGAUGAAAGAAUGAUCAUACCGAGGGAAUUCACUCAGAACUAACAAUAAUGAUAACGUGCUCCGACUGGAGCGGUUUAGGAACUGCUGGAAGGCUCUAGGGGAAUAAAGAUGGAAUGAGUUCUAAUUUUUAGGUCUGUAUGAUUUGAAAUACUUGCACACAAACCGCGUGAAAGCAUUCCUGGAAAUUUCAGCCCAAAAAAGGACGUUUAGUAAUUUUAAAAGGGACUACACGAUGAAAAACAAUAGUUUUGGCAGUUAAAGUUUGAGAUUCGACGGUGCCGUAGAUCCGUUUGGUCAUCAGGUGUUACGAGCCACACCCAUGUCUAGCUAGAAUAGUAUGUUAGGCUCGGGUAAGAGAAGAAACGGGGAACAAACUGAUGAAAGAAUGAUCAUACCAAGGGAAUUCACUCAGAACUAACAAGAAUGAUAACGUGCUCCGACUGGAGCGGUUUAGGAACUGCUGGAAGGCUCUAGGGGAAUAAAGAUGGAAUGACUUCUAAUUUUUACGUUCGUAUGAUUUGAAAUACUUGCACACAAACCACGCAAAAGCGUUCCUGGAAAUCUCAUCCUAAAAAAGGACGUUUAGUAAUUCUAAAAGGGACUACAGGAUGAAAAAUAAUAGUUUGGGCAGUUAAAAUUUGAGAUUCGACGGUGCCGUAGAUCCGUUUGGUCAUCAGGUGUUACGAGCCACACCCAUGUCUAGCUAGAAUAGUGUGUUAGGCUCAGGCUAGAGAAGAAACGGGGAACAAACUGAUGAAAGAAUGAUCAUAUCGAGGGAAUUCACUCAGAACUAACAAGAAUGAUAACGUGCUCCGACUGGAGCAGUUUAGAAACUGCUGGAAGGCUCUAGGGGAAUAAAGAUGGAAUGACUUCUAAUUUUUAGGUCUGUAUGAUUUGAAAUACGUGCACACGAACCCCGAGAAAGCGUUCCUGGAAAUCUCGGCCCAAAAAAGGACGUUUAGUAAUUCUAAAAGGGACUACAGGAUGAAAAACAAUAGUUUUGGCAGUUAAAGUUUGAGAUUCGACGGUGCCGUAGAUCCGUUUGUUCAUCAGGUGUUACGAGCCACACCCAUGUCUAGCUAGAAUAGUGUGUUAGGCUCAGGCUAGAGAAGAAACGGGGAACAAACUGAUGAAAGAAUGAUCAUACCGAGGGAAUUCACUCAGAACUAACAAGAAUGAUAACGUGCUCCGACUGGAGCGGUUUAGGAACUGCUAGAAGGCUCUAGGGGAAUAAAGAAGGAAUGACUUCUAAUUUUUAGGUCCGUAUGAUUUGAAAUACGUGCACACAAACCCCGAGAAAGCGUUCCUGGAAAUCUUGGCCCAAAAAAGGACGUUUAGUAUUCUAAAAGCGACUACAGAAUGAAAAACAAUAGUUUUGCUAGUUAAAGUUUGAGAUUUGAUGGUGCCGUAGAUCUGUUUGGUCAUCAGGUUUUACGAGCCACACCCAUGUCUAGCUAGAAUAGUGUGUUAGGCUCAGGCUAGAAAAGAAACAGGGAAUAAAGUGAUGAAAGAAUGAUCAUACCAAGGGAAUUCACUCAGAACUAACAAGAACGAUAACAUGCUCCGACUGGAGUGGUUUAGAACUGCUGGAAGGCUAAAGGGGAAUAAAGAUGGAAUGACUUCUAAUUUUUAGGUCCGUAUGAUUUGAAAUACUUGCACACAAACCGCACGAAAGUGUUCCUGGAAAUCUCAGCCCAAAAAAGGACGUUUAGUAAUUCUAAAAGGGACUACAGGAUGAAAAACAAUAGUUUUGGCAGUUAAAGUUUGAGAUUCGAUAAUGACGUAGAUCCGUUUGGUCAUCAGGUGUAACGAGCCACACCCAUGUCUAGCUAGAGUAGUGUGCUAGGCUCAGACUAGAGAAGAAACGGGGAACAAACUGAUGAAAGAAUGAUCAUACCGAGGGAAUUCACUCAGAACUAACAAUAAUGAUAACGUGCUCCGACUAGAGCGGUUUAGGAACUGCUGGAAGGCUCUAGGGGAAUAAAGAUGGAAUGACUUCUAAUUUUUAGGUCCCUAUGAUUUGAAAUACUUGCACACAAACCGCGUGAAAGCAUUCCUGGAAAUUUCAGCCCAAAAAAGGACGUUUAGUAAUUUUAAAAGGGACUACACGAUGAAAAAGAAUAGUUUUGGCAGUUAAAGUUUGAGAUUCGACGGUGCCGUAGAUCCGUUUGGUCAUCAGGUGUUACGAGACACACCCAUGUCUAGCUAGAAUAGUAUGUUAGGCUCGGGUUAGAGAAGAAACGGGGAACAAACUGAUGAAAGAAUGAUCAUACCAAGGGAAUUCACUCAGAACUAACAAGAAUGAUAACGUGCUCCGACUGGAGCGGUUUAGGAACUGCUGGAAGGCUCUAGGGGAAUAAAGAUGGAAUGACUUCUAAUUUUUACGUUCGUAUGAUUUGAAAUACUUGCAAACAAACCACGCAAAAGCGUUCCUGGAAAUUUCAUCCUAAAAAAGGACGUUUAGUAAUUCUAAAAGGGACUACAGGAUGAAAAAUAAUAGUUUGGGCAGUUAAAAUUUGAGAUUCGAUGGUGCCGUAGAUCCGUUUGGUCAUCAGGUGUUACGAGCCACACCCAUGUCUAGCUAGAAUAGUGUGUUAGGCUCAGGCUAGAGAAGAAACGGGGAACAAACUGAUGAAAGAAUGAUCAUAUCGAGGGAAUUCACUCAGAACUAACAAGAAUGAUAACGUGCUCCGACUGGAGCAGUUUAGAAACUGCUGGAAGGCUCUAGGGGAAUAAAGAUGGAAUGACUUCUAAUUUUUAGGUCUGUAUGAUUUGAAAUACGUGCACACAAACCCCGAGAAAGCGUUCCUGGAAAUCUCGUCCGGAAAAAGGAUGUUUAAUAAUUCUAAAAGGGACUACAGGAUGAAAAACAAUAGUUUUGGCAGUUAAAGUUUGUGAUUCGAUGGUGCCGUAGAUCUGUUUGGUCAUCAGGUGUUACGGGCCACACCCAUGUCUAGCUAGAAUAGUGUGUUAGGCUCAGGCUAGAGCAGAAACGGGGAGCAAACUUAUGAAAGAAUGAUCAUAGCGAGGGAAUUUACUCAGAACUAACAAGAAUGAUAACGUGCUCCGACUGGAGCGGUUUAGGAACUGCUGGAAGGCUCUAGGGGAAUAAAGAUGGAAUGACUUCAAAUUUUCAGGUAUGUAUGAUCUGAAAUACUUGCACACAAACCGCGAGAAAGCGUUCCUGGAAAUCUCAACCCAAAAAAGGAUGUUUAGUAAUUCUAAAAGGGACUACAGGAUUAAAAACAAUAGUUUUGGCAGUUAAAGUUUGAGAUUCGAUAAUGUCGUAGAUCCGUUUGGUCAUCAGGUGUAACGAGCCACACCCAUGUCUAGCUAGAGUAGUGUGCUAGGCUCAUACUAGAGAAGAAACGGGGAACAAACUGAUGAAAGAAUGAUCAUACCGAGGGAAUUCACUCAGAACUAACAAGAAUGAUAACGUGCUCCGACUGGAGCGGUUUAGGAACUGCUGGAAGGCUCUAGGGGAAUAAAGAUGGAAUGACUUCUUAUUUUUAGGUCCGUAUGAUUUGAAAUACAUGCACACAAACCCCAAGAAAGCGUUCCGGGAAAUCUCGGCCCAAAGAAUGAUGUUUAGUAAUUCUAAAAGGGACUAUAGAAUGAAAAACAAUAGUUUUGGCAGUUAAAGUUUGAGAUUUGACGGUGUCGUAGAUCUGUUUGGUCAUCAGGUGUUACGAGCCACACCCAUUUCUAGCUAGAAUAGUGUGUUAGGCUCAGGCUAGAAAAGAAACGGGGAACAAAGUGAUGAAAGAAUGAUCAUACCGAGGGAAUUCACUCAGAACUAACAAGAAUGAUAACAUGCUCCGACUAGAGCGGUUUAGGAACUGCUGGAAGGCUCUAGGGGAAUAAAUAUGGAAUGACUUCUAAUUUUCAGGUCCGUAUGAUUUGAAAUACUUGCACACAAACCGCGCGAAAGCGUUCCUGGAAAUCUCAUCCCAAAGAAGGUCGUUUAGUAAUUCUAAAAGGGACUACAGGAUGAAAAACAAUAGUUUUGGCAAUUUAAGGUUUGAGAUUCGACGGUGCCGUAGAUCCGUUUGGUCAUCAGGUGUUACGAGCCACACCCAUGUCUAGCUAGAAUAGUGUGCUAGGCUCAGGCUAGAGAAGAAACAGGGAACAAACUGAUGAAAGAAUGAUCAAACCGAGGGAAUUCACUCAGAACUAACAAUAAUGAUAACGUUCUCCGUCUGGAGCGGUUUAGGAACUGCUGGAAGGCUCUAGGGGAAUAAAGAUGGAAUGACUUCUAAUUUUUAGGUCCGUAUGAUUUGAAAUACUUGCACACAAACCGCGCCAAAUCGUUCCUGGAAAUCUCAGCCCAAAAAAGGACGUUUAGUAAUUCUAAAAGGGACUACAGGAUGAAAAACAAUAGUUUUGGCAGUUAAAGUUUGAGAUUCGAUGGUGCCGUAGACCCGUUUGGUCAUCAGGUGUUACGAGCCACACCCAUGUCUAGCUAGAGUAGUGUGCUAGGUUCAGACUAGAGAAGAAACAGGGAACAAAGUGAUGAAAGAAUGAUCAUACCGAGGGAAUUCACUCAGAACUAACAAGAAUGAUAACGUGCUCCGACUGGAGCGGUUUAGGAACUGCUGGAAGGCUCUAGGGGAAUAAAGAUGGAAUGACUUCUAAUUUUUACGUCCGUAUGAUUUGAAAUACUUGCACACAAACCACGCAAAAGCGUUCCUGGAAAUCUCAGCCUAAAAAAGGACGUUUAGUAAUUCAAAAAGGGACUACAAAAU
This 28373-nucleotide long non-coding RNA is filed under the name Triticum aestivum (bread wheat). RNAcentral's name for it is "long non-coding RNA (TAES_LNC019905)". The record is from RNAcentral. Lineage: Eukaryota; Viridiplantae; Streptophyta; Magnoliopsida; Poales; Poaceae.